RNAcentral lists this long non-coding RNA (200 nucleotides) under Manihot esculenta (cassava). RNAcentral describes it as "long non-coding RNA (MESC_LNC011527)". The record is from RNAcentral. Lineage: Eukaryota; Viridiplantae; Streptophyta; Magnoliopsida; Malpighiales; Euphorbiaceae.
GCAGAGGGAGAGGGAGAGGGGCAGCCUCUUCUUCAGCAGGUUCCCGGGGUGAAGGUCCAUCAGCUCCAGCUCGGAUCUUCACUAUGACACAGCAGGAGGCGAACACAUCCAACACUGUGGUGUCAGGUAAUCUCAUCAUUGGUUGUUCUGAUGUGUAUGCUUUAAUGGACCCUGGUGCAUCUCAUUUUUUUGUUGCUCCG